GGAGAAGGAUUUGAUCCGCUUCUCAAAUUUUCAUAUUCGGCUUCUCUUUCUUCGUCAGUUAUCUUCUCAAUUCAUUUCUGUAAAGGUCUCGACAAUGAGCGAUUCCGGAGAUAUGGACGACAUUGAAGAAGGCCUAUGCGGAUGUACACCGCGAUGCGGCCAAAGAAUCAGUGGCGUAGUAAUGAUUUCGAAGAUGGAAGGUUUUCGGUUUCGAUUGGAGAGUUUGCACGAAUCAGGAUGAAGCACUUCGGAUGCUUGUUAGACGCUUAACGAAGAAUGAAUAGUUAGAGAAAGCGAGAUGAAUAACUUUGGGCUCAAAAUUGAAGCAUAAUAUGUAGUGAAGGAAGAUAUGGUAAGAGUUGCGUGAAGAUCAGGAUAAAUUGGAUAAAGUAACGAACAGGAAAUAAGAAACUAAAUGAAAAAAUUUAGCAAAAAUAUGGCUACUAAGAUAUGUAUGUCAUUGCGGCCUCAGGACUCUCUUAGUCAUGCUGUCAUGGUGAGUCCACCGUUAUGGUUCUCAUCUGGAACAACAGCUCGUCAUCUGGGAAAUGGACAUGUCAGGAAAGUGUAAGCCUAAACAAUGUACCAGUGAUACUGAUUUUUCCUUCAUUAAAAGAAGCACAGAAUUAGAACCUUCUAAAAGUGGCUAUAGAAUCUGUUUAGUGGAAAAGUCUGUUUUCUUGGAGAUUCCUCCCAUGAAAUACAUAGCAGAAGAGAUCAGAAGACCUAAGGGGUACGAGCAAACAUGUGUGUUGAUAUUAUAUGAAAGUGAUGCAGAAAGAUGAUGCUGGUAUCAGGGUGACACUUUUCAGAAAAAGAAAAAGAGUACUGAAAUGUGGGAUAAUAUCAUCUUCUGAACAGGUCCUUUAUUAACGUGGCAUCAGAAUGUAUGAAAUAUCAAUUUUUGUUUCCCCAAAAUUCCAUCAGAUGAUUCUUCCUUGAUGAUGAAGUAUGGAAUUAGAGAAGAUAAAAGUAUUAACAGGAUUCACACAAUACCUUUAAAUGAUGGAAAGUAGCAUUUGCCAUGGGAGAUGAAAAGGAUGAAGCAAUACAUAUACCAGCUGCUAUGAAGAAUUUUGACAUAUUGAAAAGAUGCAAUCAGAGGUAGCAGUAUUAAAUGUCAGUUUCCAGAAAAUGGAAAAAGUUACAAGAAAGAAAAUGGCUCUCCAAACUCCAAACAGGAGAUCAUGGAAAUACAUCAUGACCUAUUUAUCAUUGCUCUGGAAUUCCAUUUGUAGACAACGCUGAACUAAUCGGAAACAAUUUAUCAAUCACAAAUGAUUGUGUACUCUCAAAAACAUUUUUGAAAGUUCUAUCUGAAAAGGAUGAAGUGUUUACAGCACACGCAGAUGCUGAAAGUGAUAUAGGAGUCUGGUGAAACCUUUUGGAAUGUAUGCAUCAAAACCAUCUCAACCAACAAUGUUGUUGAACCGUUAAAAGGUUGUUAACUAAGUUUGACAAGACUGCUUCUGAUUUGAAUGAUGACUCCCACAUGUAACUUAUAAAUAUUUACUUUCUUAAGCCACAAUUUAUUGAAAGCACAAGGACUUGCCAAAUAACUCAGACUGUAAUUCAUCUUGUAAUAAGAUCAUUCAAAGAGGAAGAUGGGGAACAAAGGAAUGGUCUAGUAGAGACUUAGAAUUGAAGCUUCAUGGUUGAAUUCUCAAGAUGUUGGCAAGCAGCACAUUUGCGCAUGAGCAAAUAGUGGUCUUCCUCAUAAGGUGCUGCACAUGUAACGAAUUGACCAUUCGUGAAGCUUUUCAACCUUACAUUUCCAGAUAAUUUUUUUUUACUAUGAGUUUCUAGUCAAAUUAUUUUAAUACGUUUUCACACCAGAAACCUUUUGCCCAUCAAAUAAUUGUGCUACAUUCUGACAUAUUCCUCAAUUUUUUCACAUUGUCAGAUUAUUAUGAUCCAUCAUCAUAUUGAGCAAUCAAUUAGCUGGAUAAAGUCAGCAAAGUGAAGACACUCCAAAGUUGGAUUUUGCUCAAUUAGAAACAUGCUACAUUUGGGAAUCACGAAACAUUUUCAGAUUUGACAUCUUUAUGCCAGGAGGAAGAUAAAAGUGCAAGAUUAACAGGCUAAAGUAAGCAUCUUUUCCCCGUUUGACGGCAAAGUUAGUGGCAGACCACAAGGCCUUCAAAAUAUUGUCCGUAGAGCAUGCCUUGUGAUCUUUUAUUUCAUGGAUCAUUGCUGUGCUCUAUUCAUACACAGAUGGUACAUUGCAUAUCGUGAUGAACAGCAUCGUAUCGUAUACGAGAAAAGGAAAGAAACGAAACGAUGAUUAGAGCUAAGGAGAAACGGUACGCUUACAUCUCAUGUUCCUUCAAAUCCUAUUUCACUCAUAGAAUCUCUUGUUUGAUAAUUUUAUAUCAUUUAUAUAUUGCGUGGAUUUUUUUCCUUUAAAAACAAAUCUUUUUUUUUCAUCUUACGUCCUCUUGUCACUUUCCUCAGAGUUUUUAAAAAACCUUUUUUUAAUAAUAGAUGUGGUACUUGCAAUUAUACUCUUAAGCUUUUAAUUGUAAAAUUGAUCUUCAAACUUAUAUAAUUGUAGGAUUGUUAAAAUUGACCCUCAAACUUAUAUAAUGUUAGAAAUUGUAUAAACUUGAAGGUUUAAUUUUUUUUAAUUUUAUUUCGGAGGUCUUAUUUCUACCAUUAUUGUAAGUCUUUGGGUUAAAAUUUUAACUUAGGUAAGUUUAAGAGUUUAAUUUUUACAAUUGUAAAUUUAAGGGUUCGUUGCAACUACUACCAUAUUUCAUUUCGAAGGUAGUGUUUGCAAUUUUCCCUUAAAAGUAAAACAAGAUGGUUCCCUUAAAAAUAAAAACUUAACCCAACAUAUUUUGAACUUUAGAGCGAAACCGAACCUUUUGUAGCACAAUUAAAUGCGGAAGAUUCAUACCAAAAACAAAUUAUUUGCUAAUACAUUUAUAUAUUAAUUGAGCAGCUAUAUAUAUGCUCGUAUUAGUGAGACCAAUAAAGGCUUAAAUUUUAUAGGCUAAUUAUAGAGAUUUUUUUAUUUAUUGGUGGGGGGAAAUUAAAUUAUUGAUGGAAUGAAUUUCAAAAUUAUUCACGAAUGCGAAAGAAGCCAUUUAAGAAGUGUCUGACAGCUUGAUCUAGGCAAAAAUGUUGGUAGUGCUGUACAAUAGAUAAAAGAUAGAAGAGGAAAGUCCAAGUUUAGGUUUUGGAAGAGGCUGAAUUGGACGCAGAAAAAUGUGUCAUUCUAUUCAUUGAUGGAUUUGGCUUUGGUUGUGGAAGAAAACCAUCAAGCCUUGUUACAAAUUAAUUUGGGGGUUUUGGUCUCAAGUUGAGUCAAAUUGGGUAAAAAACUCACCUAUGAUUCGGUAAUUUCCAAUCACUCUUUCAUAUAAUAAUUAUCUUCUCAACUUAAAUCUUUUGAAUUA
Cucumis sativus (cucumber) is the source of this 3401-nucleotide long non-coding RNA. RefSeq lists it as uncharacterized. NCBI's taxonomy places the organism in Eukaryota, Viridiplantae, Streptophyta, Magnoliopsida, Cucurbitales, Cucurbitaceae. The transcript has 7 exons. The record is from RefSeq and is a predicted model, not a curated record.